UACGUAGGUGGCAAGCGUUGUCCGGAUUUACUGGGCGUAAAGAGCGCGCAGGCGGUCGUUCAAGUCGCGUGUGAAAGCCCCCGGCUCAACUGGGGAGGGUCACGCGAUACUGAUCGACUCGAAGGCAGGAGAGGGUAGUGGAAUUCCUGGUGUAGCGGUGAAAUGCGCAGAUAUCAGGAGGAACACCGAUGGCGAAGGCAGCUCGCUGGGACGGUACUGACGCUGAGGCGCGAAAGCGUGGGGAGCAAACAGG
RNAcentral lists this ribosomal RNA (253 nucleotides) under uncultured bacterium. RNAcentral describes it as "partial 16S ribosomal RNA". It matches the Rfam family "Bacterial small subunit ribosomal RNA", at positions 524 to 776 of the family's 1533-position model. The record is from RNAcentral.